GGAGUUUGGACCGUGUCUCAGUUCCAAUGUGGGGGACCUUCCUCUCAGAACCCCUACUGAUCGUCGGCUAGGUGGGCCGUUACCCCGCCUACUACCUAAUCAGACGCAUCCCCAUCCAUAAGCGAUAAAUCUUUAUUCCAUCUCAGAUGUCUUUAAUGGAAACCAUAGGGCAUUAAUCUUACUUUCGCAAGGCUAUUCCCUACUUAUGGGCAGGUUGGAUACGCGAUACUCACCCGUGCGCCGGUCGCCGGCAAGAAUAGCAAGCUACUCUCCCGAUGCCCCUCGACUUGCAUGUGUUAAGCCUGUAGCUAGCGUUCAUC
This 320-nucleotide ribosomal RNA is filed under the name uncultured Prevotella sp. RNAcentral describes it as "partial 16S ribosomal RNA". The record is from RNAcentral. Lineage: Bacteria; Pseudomonadati; Bacteroidota; Bacteroidia; Bacteroidales; Prevotellaceae.